CUGCAGCUACGAAGUACUUUUUCACUUCUCUGGAACAUUAUUCUAAGCAGAAUUAUCCCGAUUCAUAUAUUCUAAGAAUCUUGUGCGAAUUGUUUACGAGGAAAUUCUGACAGUCACAUUAACAAGGAUGAACACUCUUGACUCUGCUUCGGAUUCGGAUCAUCAUAUCAUUCCCCAGUGAUAAUUGUAUCGAGUGAUGAAAGAGCUGACGGCGACAUUUUAAUGUAUGAUUGACUUGGACCAUUGGAACGAAGUCAUUUCAUGGUGCCACCACUUGGGAUGGUAUUAGCUGCAAAUAUAGACUUGUACUCAGCACUUAUUGCCUUUAAGAAGUAUGAGAUCCAUUUUGUGCUAACACCUACCGUGACACAGAAUCUUGGUUUAUGCAGUCUCAUAGGAGUAACCUGUCUAAAGCAUUUAGCAAUGGGAUUGGAACCUGCGAUGUUUGACUCAUCUGAAUACUGAAUUUUGAUACCAAGCAUGACCAUGAUUUGCCAGAAGAUCAUCUGUUUGGAUGUGACAUGGAAUAAACAGCAUAGUCAAAAUAAGUCAAUUUUUGGUUGUGAAGACAAUUUUUAAACACACUGUGUAUCAUUUUUAGCUCACCUCAACGAAGUUGGGGGAGCUUAUGUAAUACCCUCGGCGUCGGCGUCGGCGUUGGCGUCCCAGGUUAAGUUUUUUGGAGCAGUUUUCUUUUUAAGUACUUCUAUGUCCUAUAUUGAUUAGACAUGCAUGGAAGAUGGUUCUAGUGUGUUUCAUUGUACCAGUCAAAGUUUCAGAUGCUGCAAUUUCAGCAAAGAAAUGACCAGGUUAAUGUUUUUGGAGCAGGUUAACAUUUUUGGUGCAGUUUUUGGUGUGGGUUUCAUUUCCAAGUAGCUAUAAGCCCUAUGUUGACCAAACUUGCAUGGAUGGUACAUCUAAGGAUGCAUACUACCAGGCUUGCUUCGGAUGCUGAAUCUGACCUACAUUUUCUGGUUGAGUGAACAGGUUAAAGUUUUUGGUGUAGGUUUCAUUUCCAAGUAACUAUAAGCCCUUUGUUGACCAAACUUGCAUGGAUGAUACAUCUAAGGAUGCAUACUACCAGGCUUGCUUCGGAUGCUGAAUCUGACCUACAUUUUCCGGUUGAGUGAACAGGUUAAAGUUUUUGGUGCAGGUUUCAUUUCCAAGUAACUAUAAGCCCUAUGUUGACCAAACUUGCAUGGAUGAUACAUCUAAGGAUGCAUACUACCAGGCUUGCUUCGGAUGCUGAAUCUGACCUACAUUUUCCGGUUGAGUGAACAGGUUGAAGUUUUUGGUGUAGGUUUCAUUUCCAAGUAACUAUAAGCCCUAUGUUGACCAAACUUGCAUGGAUGAUACAUCUAAGGAUGCAUACUACCAGGCUUGCUUCGGAUGCUGAAUCUGACCUACAUUUUCUGGUUGAGUGAAUGGGUUAAAGUUUUUCGUGAGUGAUUCAUUUCCAAGUAACUAUGAGUUCUUUAAUGACCAAACUUGCACGGACGAUACAUCUUAGGAUGCACACUUAUGGACUUGCUUCGGAUGCUGAAUUUGACAUACUUUUUUCAGAUAAUAGACCAGGUAAAAGUUAUGGGUGCAGGUCUAUUACCAAAUAACUAUAAGGCUUAUAUAACAUUGUUUAAACCAAACUUGCACAAAUGUUGCAUCAAGAGAUGAAAAAUCUCAAAUUUGCUUCAGAUGCUGGAUUUUGAUUACAUUUUCAUGAAGAAGAACUAGUUUAAAUUUGUUAUGUAGGUCUAUUUCAAAGUAUUAAAAUUGCUUAAAUAUUUUCAUUUUUGGAAUGUGCACUUUUUGUUGGUUAAUUGUGUGACUUUGCCUUACUUAAAGACAACAUUCGUUGAGGUGAGCUCUGUAAUCUCUGAUUACCUAUGUUUAAAUUUUGAUUUGACAACAUAAAUCCACAAAUAUGAACAUAUCAAUUGCUCUCAGUUUUUCAAGUGAAAUAGUUUUUGUAACAGAAAUACAUGUACCAGUAAUUACAUUGGAAUAAAUGUUAUUUUUAAAUAUAAUAUUUUGUUUGUGUAGCAUGUUGACCUCUUUAUUAAGGUCUUCCCUUUCAAAGUGUAGACUUACUUAUUCUAAUGAUUAAGAUAGGUCCUCUGUCUUCAGCAGGA
This is a long non-coding RNA of Saccostrea cuccullata (small rock oyster), 2129 nucleotides long. RefSeq lists it as uncharacterized. Lineage: Eukaryota; Metazoa; Mollusca; Bivalvia; Ostreida; Ostreidae. The transcript has 3 exons. The record is from RefSeq and is a predicted model, not a curated record.